This 170-nucleotide ribosomal RNA is filed under the name uncultured Dinobryon. RNAcentral describes it as "partial Eukaryotic large subunit ribosomal RNA". The record is from RNAcentral. Lineage: Eukaryota; Chrysophyceae; Chromulinales.
GUGCUUUCUUUGGAGUUCGCGGAUUCGUUAAAGGGUUGGGUCGAUUGCUUGGAAUUCCUCGCCCACUCUCUAUUGCCCUUGCAUCUGUUGUAGGCUCAUUUGUAUCUGAGAGAACAAAAUUGAUUGGACGUGCAAAUUUUUUGGAUAACGAGGGCUUGAAGCAAAAUUCG